RNAcentral lists this long non-coding RNA (1998 nucleotides) under Musa acuminata (dwarf banana). RNAcentral's name for it is "long non-coding RNA (MACU_LNC006043)". The record is from RNAcentral. Lineage: Eukaryota; Viridiplantae; Streptophyta; Magnoliopsida; Zingiberales; Musaceae.
UCGGUUAAUGGGUUUAUGUUCAGAGUUCGUAUUAAGUUGUGGUAACUCUUAUGCUUGCGCAGAUCGAUUGAUUCUUUGUUGUCUGUGUUGCAUUAUGCUCUUUAAUUCUUUGUCGUGUUUGAUUGUUGAUUGUGAUUGUCCAUCCACUAUGUAGCUUCGCCAUUUGAACGAGACAUCAGUAAGAUAUGCGCCCAAAGUGAUCAUGCCACUGCAAAUUUUCCUUGUCCUCUUCGUGGCUGUUUGUCGUCAUACACGAUAAGUUUAUGCCUUGUAUUUGGUUGCAGUAUAUGUUUCUCUUGCACUAUGAUCUGCAUUGGCAUCUCUAUAAGGCUGCGCUGAGGACGAGAGUAGCUCAACUGAACUGGCAUUUACUGAUAUAAGACACACUACCUUCUUAACGAAAAACAACUUUGAAAUGCCACUAGGAAACUGAUAGGAAUUCAAGCAUUUCCCUGUCUUAUAAACUUCAAGGUAUUUAGAUGCGUAUCUUGUGCAACUGGGUGCCACUUGAAAGUUGAAACAGCGUCGAACUAAGAUCUUCAGAUUUUGAAAAUCUUAGGCAUUAUUUGUUAUGAUUAUUCCAUGCCCCUUGUUGUCCCUGUACAUAUGCAUGUGUCAUCAUCUGGGGCAUAUCUUGAGGUACUAAAGCUUGAAAGAAGAUGAGAAACAUGGCAAAAGGGAUAGAGCUUGAUUUAAGUCUGUUUGGAAGCUUUAAUAGUAGGAGUGCCGUUAGUCUUGGAUGACCUUCUACAUCAAGAACUCAAGAGUGGCCUUGGAUGCCUUUAUAAAUUGCAAUGAUAGUAGUGAUAAGUUGCAUUCGGAUUCACUUCUCCUUCAAGUAUAUGAGCUACCUAAGGUGCAUAUGAAGAAUGAUUAGUUUUCGUGGAAGAAUGUGUUUUGGGUACUUUAGGCAAGUAGUGAGAAUCAUUUGCUGUUGUCUUCCACGUAUAAAAAAUUCUGCAGUUCGAGUAAAGCUAAAUGAUAUCAUGCGCUAUUAGAUGCAGCAACUCUUCAAGGGAAACCUGUUUUGGCACACUGUCACAUGCUACCAAAUAAUUGCUGGAUUUCUUGGUCACAACAUCUGGCAACUUUGAUAAUAUCUUUGAUGGAAAGCUGUUUGUGUCCUUUCCCCUCCCUACUAUGAUUGGACGCUAGCAGAUUUCGCUCUUUCCUUAGCUAACACUGCUGCAUUUACAUUUGGUUGAUAGAUUGUGUAAGAACAUAACUGAUGAGGUGAAAUUGAACUCUCUGUUUAUUAAAUGCACUAAUCUGCAAUGCACUAAAGUUGACAGUGAAUUAUUGUCAAAAUUAAGCAGUCAAGCAGUGAGCUGCUGAAAGUUAAGUUGUUUGUUUGGACUCUUGGAAGGGAAAAAGUUUGUCGACUUCCAGAUUUAUGUCAGUUGGUAUAUCAAGACAGCUUAUGUUUUGUUGCCAAGAAAAUCUGGUCCAAGCAAAAUUUGGGUUUAGUGAUUGAUUUUAUGGCCCUAUGAGAGCUAUACUUUUUUGAUAUUGUCAGUGGUUUUAAGCUGAAAUUAUGGAUGACAAUGUUGACUUGUCAUCUUAUGUUUGUUUCCUCUUGCCCAUAUCUUCUUCUGCUAAGAUAUACUAUGUUAUAUUGCAUGAAGACGUUAAAAUUGGCAUAUUAGUAUGUAACCACAUUAACUUGGUGCAGAAAAGGACAUUCACAAAGCCUACCUAUGCGAUAUAUUGACAAGACUAUAAAUUGACAGGUUUAUUGCUGUCGGUGAUGAAGCAUUCCUCCUCAGUUAUGGUCAAACAUUCCAGCCCCAUGUAGUUGGUGCAGCAACAAACAUUCAGCGAGCCCUGACUGCUGCAAAUUUAGCAAACACGGUAAAAGUCAUUGUUCCUUGCAGUUCUGAUGUAUACCAAUCUGAGUCUAACCUACCUUCGAAGGGUCACUUUAGGCCUGAUCUCAACAAGACUAUGAUUGAGCUCCUCUCUUUUCUUGACAAGCAUGGUUCACCCUUUGUGGUUGAC